Molecule: ribosomal RNA, 253 nt
Filed under: uncultured bacterium
Lineage: Bacteria
Description: partial 16S ribosomal RNA
Rfam family: Bacterial small subunit ribosomal RNA
Source: RNAcentral
UACGAAGGGGGCUAGCGUUGUUCGGAAUCACUGGGCGUAAAGCGCACGUAGGCGGAUUGUUAAGUCGGGGGUGAAAUCCUGAGGCUCAACCUCAGAACUGCCUCCGAUACUGGCAAUCUCGAGUUCGGAAGAGGUUGGUGGAACAGCUAGUGUAGAGGUGAAACUCGUAGAUAUUAGCUAGAACACCAGUGGCGAAGGCGGCCAACUGGUCCGACACUGACGCUGAGGUGCGAAAGCGUGGGGAGCAAACAGG